This 458-nucleotide ribosomal RNA is filed under the name uncultured Enterobacteriaceae bacterium. RNAcentral's name for it is "bacterial SSU rRNA". It matches the Rfam family "Bacterial small subunit ribosomal RNA", at positions 923 to 1382 of the family's 1533-position model. The record is from RNAcentral. Lineage: Bacteria; Pseudomonadati; Pseudomonadota; Gammaproteobacteria; Enterobacterales; Enterobacteriaceae.
CCACAAGCGGUGGAGCAUGUGGUUUAAUUCGAUGCAACGCGAAGAACCUUACCUACUCUUGACAUCCAGAGAACUUAGCAGAGAUGCUUUGGUGCCUUCGGGAACUCUGAGACAGGUGCUGCAUGGCUGUCGUCAGCUCGUGUUGUGAAAUGUUGGGUUAAGUCCCGCAACGAGCGCAACCCUUAUCCUUUGUUGCCAGCGAUUCGGUCGGGAACUCAAAGGAGACUGCCAGUGAUAAACUGGAGGAAGGUGGGAUGACGUCAAGUCAUCAUGGCCCUUACGAGUAGGGCUACACACGUGCUACAAUGGCAUAUACAAAGAGAAGCGACCUCGCGAGAGCAAGCGGACCUCAUAAAGUAUGUCGUAGUCCGGAUUGGAGUCUGCAACUCGACUCCAUGAAGUCGGAAUCGCUAGUAAUCGUAGAUCAGAAUGCUACGGUGAAUACGUUCCCGGGCCUU